GAGACAGCAGCAGCCACGGUAAUACGUAGGGUGCGAGCGUUAAUCGGAAUUACUGGGCGUAAAGCGUGCGCAGGCGGUUCGUUAAGUCAGAUGUGAAAUCCCCGGGCUCAACCUGGGAACUGCAUUUGAGACUGUAUGGCUAGAGUGUGUCAGAGGGGGGUAGAAUUCCACGUGUAGCAGUGAAAUGCGUAGAUAUGUGGAGGAAUACCGAUGGCGAAGGCAGCCCCCUGGGAUAACACUGACGCUCAUGCACGAAAGCGUGGGGAGCAAACAGGAUUAGAUACCCCAGUAGUCCCUGUCUCUUAUAC
RNAcentral lists this ribosomal RNA (308 nucleotides) under uncultured bacterium. Its description in RNAcentral is "partial 16S ribosomal RNA". It matches the Rfam family "Bacterial small subunit ribosomal RNA", at positions 505 to 807 of the family's 1533-position model. The record is from RNAcentral.